Molecule: non-coding RNA, 1319 nt
Organism: Nestor notabilis (Kea)
Lineage: Eukaryota; Metazoa; Chordata; Aves; Psittaciformes; Psittacidae
Source: the annotation of a RefSeq genome assembly
ACCCAGCUGUCUCUCCCAAUGUCUACCCAUUGCUGCCCUGUGAGCAAACGGACAGUGUCUCCAUUGGCUGCUUGGCCAAGGACUUCUUCCCGACCCCCAUCUCCCUCACUUGGAACUCCAACGUGCAUGGAGACAACGAGACCUUCCCUGUCCAGUGGAUCGAGAGCUCCUACAGCGUCAGCUCCCAGUUGACCAUCCCAGCCACCAGUCUCAGUGGGGAGACCUUCCAGUGCAAGGUGGAACAUAGCAGCACCCACAGCACCAAAACGGUGACCAUCAGAGGUGACGACAUCCUCCCUUCGCAGCCCUCGUUGUCCAUCAAGCUCUUGGGCGACCCCAACCAGCAGGACCCGGAGAAGAAGGUCCUUUUGCUGUGCCUGGUGGAGGGCAAAGGGGCUGAAGAGGCCGAGGUGGAGUGGUUGGAGAACCAGGCUCCGCUGGACGCGGAGCAGGAGGACAUCAGGUGCGAGCAGUGCUCUGGGGACGUGGCCACCAGCCUGAGGAGCAAGGUCAACGUGAGCAGGACCAAGUGGGAGCUGGGCACCGAGUUCUCCUGCCGAGUGUCCCACCCCAAGGACACCCCCAAGGUCCUCAACAUCAGCAGCUUCUGCCUGGAUGUGAAGCCCCAGGUGGAAGCCACCAUCGUGCCGCCGUCCCUCGAGGACCUGUACCUGAAGCAGAACGCCAGCAUCUCCUGCGUGGUGUCCAACCUCAAGUCCACCCAGGACGUGAAGUUCUCCUGGAGCAGGGACAAAGGGAGCGCCUUGGAUGCCACCACGGGGCCGGCGGAGAAGUUGGCCAACGGGUUCUACAGGCUCAGCAGCUCCUUGAAGAUCUGCGCCGAGGAAUGGAACUCUGGGGAGAGGUUCUCCUGCAGCGUCAGCAUCCCCGAGCUCCAGGAGUCCAUCACCAGGUCCAUCAGGAAGGUCACAGACACCGCUGUGAAGCCACCAACGGUCUACGUCUUCCCACCACCCUCCGAUGAGCUGGUCCUCCAAGAGACGGCCACCCUGACCUGCUUGGCCACAGGCUUCAGCCCCAAGGACAUCUUGGUCACUUGGACCCAACAAGACCACCCCGUGUCCUCCGAGAGCUUCUCCACCUUUGGUCCCAAAGCUGAAGGAGAUACCUUCACCCUCUAUAGCAUGUUGAAGGUCCCAGUGGUUGAAUGGCAACGGGGGGACACCUUCUCCUGCAUCGUUGGCCACGAUGGGAUCCCCUUGACCUUCAUCCAGAAGAACCUGGACAAGAGCCUUGGUAAACCCACCAUGGUCAACGUCUCCGUGGUCCUCAGCGACUCCGAUGUCACCUGCUACUAA